This 252-nucleotide ribosomal RNA is filed under the name uncultured bacterium. RNAcentral's name for it is "partial 16S ribosomal RNA". It matches the Rfam family "Bacterial small subunit ribosomal RNA", at positions 524 to 776 of the family's 1533-position model. The record is from RNAcentral.
UACGUAGGUGGCAAGCGUUGUUCGGAUUUACUGGGCGUAAAGAGCGCGCAGGCGGUCGUUCAAGUCGCGUGUGAAAGCCCCCGGCUCAACUGGGGAGGUCACGCGAUACUGAUCGACUCGAAGGCAGGAGAGGGAAGUGGAAUUCCCGGUGUAGUGGUGAAAUGCGUAGAUAUCGGAAGGAACACCAGUGGCGAAAGCGGCUUCCUGGUCCAGCACCGACGUUCAGGCACGAAAGCGUGGGGAGCAAACAGG